Molecule: ribosomal RNA, 402 nt
Filed under: Verrucomicrobiota bacterium
Lineage: Bacteria; Pseudomonadati; Verrucomicrobiota
Description: Verrucomicrobia bacterium partial 16S ribosomal RNA
Rfam family: Bacterial small subunit ribosomal RNA
Source: RNAcentral
UGGGGAAUAUUGGACAAUGGGCGCAAGCCUGAUCCAGCCAUGCCGCGUGAGUGAUGAAGGCCCUAGGGUUGUAAAGCUCUUUCACCGGUGAAGAUAAUGACGGUAUCAUAGGAGGAAGCCCCGGCUAAAUACGUGCCAGCAGCCGCGGUAAUACGUAUGGGGCGAGCGUUGUCCGGAAUUAUUGGGCGUAAGGGUACGGAGGCGGUCGAUUAAGUCAGGUGUGAAAGCGUGAGGCUUAACCUCAUUAAGCACUUGAAACUGAUAGACUUGGGUGAAGGAGAGGAAAGUGGAAUUCCUAGUGUAGCGGUGAAAUGCGUAGAUAAUAGGAGGAAUACCGGUGGCGAAGGCGACUUUCUGGACUUUUACUGACGCUCAGGUACGAAAGCGUGGGGAGCAAACAGG